Molecule: long non-coding RNA, 333 nt
Filed under: Gallus gallus (chicken)
Lineage: Eukaryota; Metazoa; Chordata; Aves; Galliformes; Phasianidae
Source: RNAcentral
CUUACUCAUGCUUUAAAACUGCCAUAUGAUAUCAGCAUCGCAUACCUUGUAGCUGCAUGUAAUGAUUUUUGCCAAAGGCAACAUACCGAACCGAGCUUCACCCACCCAGAGGAGUCACUGAGUCCGAGCACUGCAUCAACCAUCCAGCAAAGGAAUUGAAGACGUGAGAGAUGGAAGAAACAAUUGGUCAUCUAAUCUCUUUUUCUAUUUUUGCCUGUCUUGUUGCCAGGGAGAUAUUGUAUUAAAAGGAGUGGCCUACACAGUCACUUCACUUACAAGCUGCCUCACUGUAAAAACAGCAUUUAAAAAUAAAGUUAAAAAAUACUUGCAGAC